Molecule: transfer RNA, 75 nt
Filed under: Rhizobium sp. Leaf311
Lineage: Bacteria; Pseudomonadati; Pseudomonadota; Alphaproteobacteria; Hyphomicrobiales; Rhizobiaceae
Also listed under: 1 other name
Description: tRNA-Met
Rfam family: tRNA
About the family: Transfer RNA (tRNA) molecules are approximately 80 nucleotides in length.
Source: RNAcentral
CGCAGAGUAGCCAAGUGGUAAGGCCUCCGGCUCAUAACCGGAAUAUCGCGGGUUCAAUUCCCGCCUCUGCAACCA